CCUACGGGGGGCUGCAGUGGGGAAUAUUGGACAAUGGGGGGAACCCUGAUCCGGCCAUGCCGCGUGUGUGAAGAAGGCCCUCGGGUUGUAAAGCACUUUCAGUGAGGAAGAACGCCUGGUGGUUAAUACCCAUCAGGAAGGACAUCACUCACAGAAGAAGCACCGGCUAACUCCGUGCCAGCAGCCGCGGUAAUACGGAGGGUGCGAGCGUUAAUCGGAAUUACUGGGCGUAAAGCGCGCGUAGGUGGCUUGAUAAGCCGGUUGUGAAAGCCCCGGGCUCAACCUGGGAACGGCAUCCGGAACUGUCAAGCUAGAGUGCAGGAGAGGAAGGUAGAAUUCCCGGUGUAGCGGUGAAAUGCGUAGAGAUCGGGAGGAAUACCAGUGGCGAAGGCGGCCUUCUGGACUGACACUGACACUGAGGUGCGAAAGCGUGGGUAGCAAACAGGAUUAGAUACCCCUGUAGUC
This 465-nucleotide ribosomal RNA is filed under the name Vreelandella stevensii. RNAcentral describes it as "partial 16S ribosomal RNA". It matches the Rfam family "Bacterial small subunit ribosomal RNA", at positions 338 to 795 of the family's 1533-position model. The record is from RNAcentral. Lineage: Bacteria; Pseudomonadati; Pseudomonadota; Gammaproteobacteria; Oceanospirillales; Halomonadaceae.